ACUACCUCUCAUCCCCCAGGCGCUCUAUGGUUUAGCGCUCUUCUCUCAAUAAAAUGAUUAUAAUUCCCUACCCGAAAGGUUGAACUCUUGACCCGAUGGAGAUACUAAUUCUUGUGUACAAUUUGUCAUAAUUUUCUGAAGAACUUUUCAGUAAAUUACGUUAUCUUCUGUGUUAUAGAGUGUAUCAAUCUGUGUAGCUUACAGAAAUAUCACAAAAGUUUGAUGAUUCAUGAGACGUGAGGCGUCAUGGGGAAUAUGAAGUAUGAACAAAAAAUUCGAACCUCUUCGACCCAGGAUGAGCCAGGGAGGGCCAGUAGAGAGAUCGACAGCGUCGCCGGCAGUAGCAUCACUGCAGGAGGAACUUUCUGUGUCCUGCUCAGUAUCUUGCCAUAAUAUUAUACCUGCUGCGAUACUGAGGUAUCAAGGCAGAUGGUGGUAGCACACGCACGAAGUCAAGCUUGGGAACUCAGCACCGCGUCUUCUGAAACACCUCACCUCUACCCAGCCAGUUUAUCAUGCAUGUAAUUAGUCCUCUGCUGCUGAUCUUGUUGUUCACACUGGUGCUAAUUCCCACCGUAGAGAGUGCAGAAAUUAUGAUAGCGUCUUCUGGUGCCUCAGCCUCCAUGCAUGGGGAAGAUGGUGGUGGCUCUGGCAGACGUCAGAGCCACUACCCGGUGCCACCC
Molecule: non-coding RNA, 683 nt
Organism: Cherax quadricarinatus
Lineage: Eukaryota; Metazoa; Arthropoda; Malacostraca; Decapoda; Parastacidae
Source: RefSeq, a predicted model, not a curated record